This 520-nucleotide unclassified non-coding RNA is filed under the name uncultured Glomus. RNAcentral describes it as "SSU rRNA". It matches the Rfam family "Eukaryotic small subunit ribosomal RNA", at positions 569 to 1090 of the family's 1831-position model. The record is from RNAcentral. Lineage: Eukaryota; Fungi; Glomeromycota; Glomeromycetes; Glomerales; Glomeraceae.
CGCAGCCGCGGUAAUUCCAGCUCCAAUAGCGUAUAUUAAAGUUGUUGCAGUUAAAAAGCUCGUAGUUGAAUUUCGGGACUAAUAUGUCGGUCGUGCCUCGGUACGCACUGGCUAAUUGGUUUCUCCUUUCUGAAGAACCAUGAUGUCAUUUAUUUGGUGUCGUGGGGAAUCAGGACUGUUACUUUGAAAAAAUUAGAGUGUUUAAAGCAGGCUCACGCUUGAAUACAUUAGCAUGGAAUAAUGAAAUAGGACGUUUGAUUCUAUUUUGUUGGUUUCUAGGAUCGACGUAAUGAUUAAUAGGGAUAGUUGGGGGCAUUAGUAUUCAAUUGUCAGAGGUGAAAAUUCUUGGAUUUAUUGAAGACUAACUACUGCGAAAGCAUUUGCCAAGGAUGUUUUCAUUAAUCAAGAACGAAAGUUAGGGGAUCGAAGACGAUCAGAUACCGUCGUAGUCUUAACCAUAAACUAUGCCGACUAGGGAUCGGAUGAUGUUAAUUUUUUAAUGACUCAUUUCGGCGCCUUA